This 68-nucleotide transfer RNA is filed under the name Campanile symbolicum. Its description in RNAcentral is "tRNA-Leu". The record is from RNAcentral. Lineage: Eukaryota; Metazoa; Mollusca; Gastropoda; Campanilidae.
AUAAAGGUGGCAGAUAAGUGCAGUAGGUUUAAGCCCUAAAUAUGGGGGUUAUGUUUCCCCUCUUUAUU